Molecule: ribosomal RNA, 305 nt
Filed under: uncultured bacterium
Lineage: Bacteria
Description: bacterial SSU rRNA
Rfam family: Bacterial small subunit ribosomal RNA
Source: RNAcentral
UGCCUACGGGACGCAGCAGUGAGGGAUAUUGGUCAAUGGGGGAAACCCUGAACCAGCAACGCCGCGUGAGGGAAGACGGUUUUCGGAUUGUAAACCUCUGUCCCCGGUGAAGAUGAUGACGGUAGCAGAGGAGGAAGCUCCGGCUAACUACGUGCCAGCAGCCGCGGUAAUACGUAGGGAGCAAGCGUUGUCCGGAUUUACUGGGUGUAAAGGGAGAGUAGGCGGCUAUGCAAGUCAGAAGUGAAAUCCAUGGGCUUAACCCAUGAACUGCUUUUGAAACUGCAGAGCUUGAGUGGAGUAGAGGG